Molecule: ribosomal RNA, 253 nt
Filed under: uncultured bacterium
Lineage: Bacteria
Description: partial 16S ribosomal RNA
Rfam family: Bacterial small subunit ribosomal RNA
Source: RNAcentral
GACGAACCGUGCGAACGUUGUUCGGAAUCACUGGGCUUAAAGGGCGCGUAGGCGGGCAAGCAAGUCCGGGGUGAAAUCUUUCGGCUCAACCGGAAAAGUGCCUUGGAUACUGCUUGUCUCGAGGGAGGUAGGGGUUGCUGGAACUUCCGGUGGAGCGGUGAAAUGCGUUGAUAUCGGAAGGAACGCCGGUGGCGAAAGCGAGCAACUGGAUCUCUUCUGACGCUGAGGCGCGAAAGCGUGGGGAGCGAACAGG